GGAAAAUAACGUUACAAACUUAGAACAUACAAUGGAAUACAUAAUUCUUUUCUUUAAAUUAAAAAUCGGUUAUUAUAGUUACUGCUAAGUAAACAUUGUACUGUAUAUUAAUUUUGUCUGAAAAAAUUUUACAAAUAAACUACAUAAACUAUUGUGCAGGAGCGUUAAUCCUAUGCUGGGAAUGCUGGGAGAAAGUUCUCAUUUCGCUAAACACGUUGCUCCUAGAGUUCAUAAUCACGCUGCACUAUGCUGCUUCUUAAUUGUGUGUUAUUGUCACUAUAUAUUUUUGACGUGCGCCUUCGAUGCUCUUUGUACUCUUCUUCUAGAAUGUAUUUCCAAGCACUUGGUAAAUCUUUCGCCGUUCUACUAUUGACAAGACAGUGGUCAUGCUUUCUCAUAUUUAUUUCUAUAGUCUCCUGUAAGGUCGCCUGCGCUGCCGAAACAAUCGGUUUUAUGAUUUUGGCUUGGUUCUAAUUUAUCUCUACCUCUUUGCUAUACGCCUCCUCUGCUAGCACUGUGGUGGUUUUACCCAUUUUAAUAUCCCGUUU
RNAcentral lists this long non-coding RNA (548 nucleotides) under Androctonus crassicauda. The record is from RNAcentral. Lineage: Eukaryota; Metazoa; Arthropoda; Arachnida; Scorpiones; Buthidae.